GGAGUAAUAGUAUAGUUAAUACUCGCCUACCACUGGUAGGACGAACAAGUUAGUAAAUAGACUUGCUAAUACUCCAUACUCCUUCUUAACACAAGUUAAGCAGGGAAAGUUUUUCGGUGUAGGAUGAGACUAUAUUGUAUCAGCUAGUUGGUGAGGUAAUGGCUCACCAAGGCUUUGACGCAUAACUGGUCUGAGAGGAUGAUCAGUCACACUGGAACUGAGACACGGUCCAGACUCCUACGGGAGGCAGCAGUAGGGAAUAUUGCUCAAUGGGGGAAACCCUGAAGCAGCAACGCCGCGUGGAGGAUGACACUUUUCGGAGCGUAAACUCCUUUUGUUGGGGAAGAACAAUGACGGUACCCAACGAAUAAGCACCGGCUAACUCCGUGCC
This 391-nucleotide ribosomal RNA is filed under the name uncultured bacterium. Its description in RNAcentral is "bacterial SSU rRNA". It matches the Rfam family "Bacterial small subunit ribosomal RNA", at positions 107 to 509 of the family's 1533-position model. The record is from RNAcentral.